RNAcentral lists this long non-coding RNA (553 nucleotides) under Phascolarctos cinereus (koala). RNAcentral describes it as "lncRNA (ENSPCIG00000016920.2)". Lineage: Eukaryota; Metazoa; Chordata; Mammalia; Diprotodontia; Phascolarctidae. The record is from RNAcentral.
GAUUUUUUUUUUCUAUUUAGCUAGGUUGGUCCUUGGACAAGAGACCUACAGUCCAUCCCUGGACCAGUCUUGGAAAUCUCUUGAAUUUUAUCAGAGGAAAUACUUUGCUGGCAAAGUCUUUGGGAACCCAGAGCUAUCUCUCAGUCACAAUGAGGCAUUGAAGGACUUCCACAUGGCACAUACCCAAUAAAGAUAGGCAAAUACAGGUACAGGAUGGAGUCCUGCUUUGUCCAAGUUGGGAGAACUGCAUUCUUUGGAUUAGAAUGAGCCCUGACUCUAAAGUCGGAAGAACUGGGUUAAAGUUCUACCUGUGAGUCUUACCACCUAUGUGAACUACCAUGUUUUAUUAUUUAAAAUCAUUGUUGAGUUUUCUGCAAAAAAAAAAAAUGAAUACAAUAAAAAGGAUCAUGUGGCUCCCUGGCUGUCGAAGGACUCUUGCAGCUCUGCAAACAUGUUCCGUGGCUUCCUUGAACGACACCAUUGAAUUGGAAAGCUAGGAAAGGAAAUGGAAGGAAGAAAUAAAUUUCAGUGGUACUAGGGUGGGGGAAUAUCU